GUCCGUAUCGAUUAGUGGUUAAAUCAUCUCGUUGUGGCUCCUACUCCGAGAAGCCGCAGGCUCGAAUCCUGCUACGGACA
Non-coding RNA from Asterophora parasitica, 80 nucleotides. NCBI's taxonomy places the organism in Eukaryota, Fungi, Basidiomycota, Agaricomycetes, Agaricales, Lyophyllaceae. The record is from the annotation of a GenBank genome assembly.